GAUGAACGCUGGCGGCGUGCCUAAUACAUGCAAGUCGAGCGAACAGACGAGGAGCUUGCUCCUCUGACGUUAGCGGCGGACGGGUGAGUAACACGUGGAUAUCCUACCUAUAAGACUGGGAUAACUUCGGGAAACCGGAGCUAAUACCGGAUAAUAUAUUGAACCGCAUGGUUCAAUAGUGAAAGACGGUUUUGCUGUCACUUAUAGAUGGAUCCGCGCCGCAUUAGCUAGUUGGUAAGGUAACGGCUUACCAAGGCAACGAUGCGUAGCCGGCCUGAGAGGGUGAUCGGCCACACUGGAACUGAGACACGGUCCAGACUCCUACGGGAGGCAGAAGUAGGGAAUCUUCCGCAAUGGGCGAAAGCUUGACGGAGCAACGCCGCGUGAGUGAUGAAGGUCUUCGGAUCGUAAAACUCUGUUAUUAGGGAAGAACAAAUGUGUAAGUAACUAUGCACGUCUUGACGGUACCUAAUCAGAAAGCCACGGCUAACUACGU
Molecule: ribosomal RNA, 496 nt
Filed under: uncultured bacterium
Lineage: Bacteria
Description: partial 16S ribosomal RNA
Rfam family: Bacterial small subunit ribosomal RNA
Source: RNAcentral